RNAcentral lists this transfer RNA (89 nucleotides) under Sphingosinicella soli. It matches the Rfam family "tRNA". From Rfam's summary of the family: Transfer RNA (tRNA) molecules are approximately 80 nucleotides in length. Their secondary structure includes four short double-helical elements and three loops (D, anti-codon, and T loops). Lineage: Bacteria; Pseudomonadati; Pseudomonadota; Alphaproteobacteria; Sphingomonadales; Sphingosinicellaceae. RNAcentral also lists the same sequence under 1 other name. The record is from Rfam by way of RNAcentral.
GGAGACGUGGGUGAGCGGCUGAAACCAGCGGUUUGCUAAACCGCCGUACGGGGUAACCCGUACCGAGGGUUCGAAUCCCUCCGUCUCCG